ACGCUCGACACCUACUGGAGGCAGCAGUGGGGAAUAUUGCACAAUGGGGGAAACCCUGAUGCAGCGACGCCGCGUGAAGGAUGAAGUAUUUCGGUAUGUAAACUUCUAUCAGCAGGGAAGAAAGUGACGGUACCUGACUAAGAAGCCCCGGCUAACUACGUGCCAGCAGCCGCGGUAAUCUGAGCGGCUGGCAAGGC
This 197-nucleotide ribosomal RNA is filed under the name uncultured bacterium. Its description in RNAcentral is "partial 16S ribosomal RNA". It matches the Rfam family "Bacterial small subunit ribosomal RNA", at positions 328 to 539 of the family's 1533-position model. The record is from RNAcentral.